UCCCUGGCGGUCCAGUGGUUAGGGCUCAGCGCUUGCACUGCUGGGGCCCGGGUUAGAUUCCUGGCCAGGGAA
This 72-nucleotide transfer RNA is filed under the name Balaenoptera physalus (Fin whale). It matches the Rfam family "tRNA". Rfam says of the family: Transfer RNA (tRNA) molecules are approximately 80 nucleotides in length. Their secondary structure includes four short double-helical elements and three loops (D, anti-codon, and T loops). Lineage: Eukaryota; Metazoa; Chordata; Mammalia; Artiodactyla; Balaenopteridae. The record is from Rfam by way of RNAcentral. RNAcentral also lists the same sequence under 2 other names.